Molecule: long non-coding RNA, 911 nt
Organism: Lathyrus oleraceus (garden pea)
Lineage: Eukaryota; Viridiplantae; Streptophyta; Magnoliopsida; Fabales; Fabaceae
Exons: 2
Source: RefSeq, a predicted model, not a curated record
UUAAUGAAUCUUAAAGAAAACAAGCACGUGGAUCACAUGGCAAAGAAACUAAGAACAAAGUACAAAUCCGUUCCCCUUUCUUCUCUGAGUCCAGUCCUCCCUUCGUCGUGCCGGAGGCCUCUUCGACGGUGGAGCCACCACAAAACAACAAUUAAAGAAUACCACUCCACCCAGUUUUAGGCACUGAGUCUAAAUCUACCAAUGAAAUUCCUUAAUUCACUUGAGCUAUGCAAAUCAAAGGGAAACAUGAAGAACCCUAACAUUCUCAAAGAUAAAUUAAAUGGCACAUGCUCACAGAUUCGAGCUCAAACAUUAGGGCUAUUGAUGCUAAGAAUUCACUUUACACAUUGGUAACCACAUCAUGAAAAAUAGAAGAGUAAGAAGAUUUACCUCCGAAACGGACGUUUGUUCCGGCGAAGAUUGCAACGGAGAAGACGGAGGACCAGCGGAAAAUCACUUAAAAAACAGGGCCAUGGUCAAUUGGAUAAGUACAAGGCAAUGUUAGGUUAUGUGGACUGCUAUGCAUUUGGAAUUGGCUUGGCUUGCGUUUGGAAAUGGCUUGAAGAGUGGAAAUUGGUGGAUGCUAUGUUUGAAUCAAAGGAGGCUCAUGAAACUUGAAUUCUUGGAAUGGAUUUGCUUGGUCAUGGGAUGAGCUCAAGCCUGCUUCCUAGGGAUGGAUUUGUGCAUGGGCUGACUUGGGAUUCGAGCUUUGGAAUGCAUUGGACUGGUUUUGGAGUCUUGGAAUGCUUGUAAUUUCAUUGUUGUACUCUUGUCAUUAGAAUUCAAAUUGUAUGAAACUUUGAAUGAAUGUAUGGAAUUGUGUUAAAGUAUGUAUUGGAAUGUUAUAAUUGUAAUGUGAUUUCGAAUGUAUGGAAUUAUUAUUGUAUGAAAUGUGAAUAUUGAUGGUUAAA